This 253-nucleotide ribosomal RNA is filed under the name uncultured bacterium. RNAcentral describes it as "partial 16S ribosomal RNA". It matches the Rfam family "Bacterial small subunit ribosomal RNA", at positions 524 to 776 of the family's 1533-position model. The record is from RNAcentral.
GACGUAGGGUGCAAGCGUUGUCCGGAUUUAUUGGGCGUAAAGAGCUCGUAGGCGGCUUGUUGCGUCGACUGUGAAAACCCGCGGCUUAACCGCGGGCUUGCAGUUGAUACGGGCAGGCUAGAGUUCGGUAGGGGAGACUGGAAUUCCUGGUGUAGCGGUGAAAUGCGUAGAUAUCAGGAGGAACACCGGUGGCGAAGGCGGCCCUCUGGACGGUGACUGACGCUGAGAAGCGAAAGCAUGGGGAGCGAACAGG